CUAAAUACUCCUGACUGACCGAUAGUGAACCAGUACCGUGAGGGAAAGGCGAAAAGAACCCCGGCGAGGGGAGUGAAAAAGAACCUGAAACCGUGUACGUACAAGCAGUGGGAGCACGCUUAGGCGUGUGACUGCGUACCUUUUGUAUAAUGGGUCAGCGACUUAUAUUCUGUAGCAAGGUUAACCGAAUAGGGGAGCCGAAGGGAAACCGAGUCUUAACUGGGCGUUAAGUUGCAGGGUAUAGACCCGAAACCCGGUGAUCUAGCCAUGGGCAGGUUGAAGGUUGGGUAACACUAACUGGAGGACCGAACCGACUAAUGUUGAAAAAUUAGCGGAUGACUUGUGGCUGGGGGUGAAAGGCCAAUCAAACCGGGAGAUAGCUGGUUCUCCCCGAAAGCUAUUUAGGUAGCGCCUCGUGAAUUCAUCUCCGGGGGUAGAGCACUGUUUCGGCAAGGGGGUCAUCCCGACUUACCAACCCGAUGCAAACUGCGAAUACCGGAGAAUGUUAUCACGGGAGACACACGGCGGGUGCUAACGUCCGUCGUGAAGAGGGAAACAACCCAGACCGCCAGCUAAGGUCCCAAAGUCAUGGUUAAGUGGGAAACGAUGUGGGAAGGCCCAGACAGCCAGGAUGUUGGCUUAGAAGCAGCCAUCAUUUAAAGAAAGCGUAAUAGCUCACUGGUCGAGUCGGCCUGCGCGGAAGAUGUAACGGGGCUAAACCAUGCACCGAAGCUGCGGCAGCGACGCUGAUGCGUUGUUGGGUAGGGGAGCGUUCUGUAAGCCUGUGAAGGUGUGCUGUGAGGCAUGCUGGAGGUAUCAGAAGUGCGAAUGCUGACAUAAGUAACGAUAAAGCGGGUGAAAAGCCCGCUCGCCGGAAGACCAAGGGUUCCUGUCCAACGUUAAUCGGGGCAGGGUGAGUCGACCCCUAAGGCGAGGCCGAAAGGCGUAGUCGAUGGGAAACAGGUUAAUAUUCCUGUACUUGGUGUUACUGCGAAGGGGGGACGGAGAAGGCUAUGUUGGCCGGGCGACGGUUGUCCCGGUUUAAGCGUGUAGGCUGGUUUUCCAGGCAAAUCCGGAAAAUCAAGGCUGAGGCGUGAUGACGAGGCACUACGGUGCUGAAGCAACAAAUGCCCUGCUUCCAGGAAAAGCCUCUAAGCAUCAGGUAACAUCAAAUCGUACCCCAAACCGACACAGGUGGUCAGGUAGAGAAUACCAAGGCGCUUGAGAGAACUCGGGUGAAGGAACUAGGCAAAAUGGUGCCGUAACUUCGGGAGAAGGCACGCUGAUAUGUAGGUGAAGUCCCUCGCGGAUGGAGCUGAAAUCAGUCGAAGAUACCAGCUGGCUGCAACUGUUUAUUAAAAACACAGCACUGUGCAAACACGAAAGUGGACGUAUACGGUGUGACGCCUGCCCGGUGCCGGAAGGUUAAUUGAUGGGGUCAGCGCAAGCGAAGCUCUUGAUCGAAGCCCCGGUAAACGGCGGCCGUAACUAUAACGGUCCUAAGGUAGCGAAAUUCCUUGUCGGGUAAGUUCCGACCUGCACGAAUGGCGUAAUGAUGGCCAGGCUGUCUCCACCCGAGACUCAGUGAAAUUGAACUCGCUGUGAAGAUGCAGUGUACCCGCGGCAAGACGGAAAGACCCCGUGAACCUUUACUAUAGCUUGACACUGAACAUUGAGCCUUGAUGUGUAGGAUAGGUGGGAGGCUUAGAAGUGUGGACGCCAGUCUGCAUGGAGCCGACCUUGAAAUACCACCCUUUAAUGUUUGAUGUUCUAACGUUGACCCGUAAUCCGGGUUGCGGACAGUGUCUGGUGGGUAGUUUGACUGGGGCGGUCUCCUCCUAAAGAGUAACGGAGGAGCACGAAGGUUGGCUAAUCCUGGUCGGACAUCAGGAGGUUAGUGCAAUGGCAUAAGCCAGCUUGACUGCGAGCGUGACGGCGCGAGCAGGUGCGAAAGCAGGUCAUAGUGAUCCGGUGGUUCUGAAUGGAAGGGCCAUCGCUCAACGGAUAAAAGGUACUCCGGGGAUAACAGGCUGAUACCGCCCAAGAGUUCAUAUCGACGGCGGUGUUUGGCACCUCGAUGUCGGCUCA
Molecule: ribosomal RNA, 2088 nt
Filed under: Escherichia coli
Lineage: Bacteria; Pseudomonadati; Pseudomonadota; Gammaproteobacteria; Enterobacterales; Enterobacteriaceae
Description: partial 23S ribosomal RNA
Rfam family: Bacterial large subunit ribosomal RNA
Source: RNAcentral